This 422-nucleotide long non-coding RNA is filed under the name Helianthus annuus (common sunflower). RNAcentral's name for it is "hypothetical non coding rna". Lineage: Eukaryota; Viridiplantae; Streptophyta; Magnoliopsida; Asterales; Asteraceae. The record is from RNAcentral.
UGGUCGACCAGAGAAACCCCAGGGGCGACACCCACCAUUCCAAACCCUAGUUCACAAGAAAUCCUGCAAAUUGAAGGCCUUAAUCAGUUAGAAAUCGAAAUCCAAGCAUAGAAUCGUGAUCACCUCGUCAAAGGGAUCCUAAGGAUUGUUGAUGCUAAUAAUAUGUGCAAGGAAUCCGGGACGUCGAGCGGGCACGCCGGAGGAGAUACACGCGGAAAAGGAGUGCUUUAAAGGUGACUUGGAACUAAUCGGAAGAUGGUCGAGCUAACUUUUGAAGAACCGAACACUAUCUACAAGCUUCCGCUUUAGUUUAUCUUUUAAUGGUUUAUGUUUUGGGCAAAUGUAAACAAUUAACAAAUUAGUUUUCGAAUGUUUUAAUUUAGUACUAGAUUGACUAAACCUUUGCUACUUACGAAUUCCAU